This 459-nucleotide ribosomal RNA is filed under the name uncultured bacterium. RNAcentral's name for it is "partial 16S ribosomal RNA". It matches the Rfam family "Bacterial small subunit ribosomal RNA", at positions 338 to 795 of the family's 1533-position model. The record is from RNAcentral.
CCUACGGGGCGCAGCAGUGAGGAAUAUUGGUCAAUGGUCGGGAGACUGAACCAGCCAAGCCGCGUGAGGGAUGAAGGUACAGAGUAUCGUAAACCUCUUUUGUCAGGGAACAAAGGCGGGGACGUGUCCCCGGAUGAGUGUACCUGAAGAAAAAGCAUCGGCUAACUCCGUGCCAGCAGCCGCGGUAAUACGGAGGAUGCGAGCGUUAUCCGGAUUUAUUGGGUUUAAAGGGUGCGCAGGCGGUCUGUUAAGUCAGCGGUCAAAGCCCGGGGCUCAACCCCGGACCGCCGUUGAAACUGGCAGUCGCGAGUUGAGGAGAAGUAUGCGGAAUGCGCGGUGUAGCGGUGAAAUGCAUAGAUAUCGCGCAGAACUCCGAUUGCGAAGGCAGCAUGCCGGCUCCACACUGACGCUGAGGCACGAAAGCGUGGGUAUCGAACAGGAUUAGAUACCCCAGUAGUC